Molecule: ribosomal RNA, 468 nt
Filed under: uncultured bacterium
Lineage: Bacteria
Description: partial 16S ribosomal RNA
Rfam family: Bacterial small subunit ribosomal RNA
Source: RNAcentral
GACGAACGCUGGCGGCGUGCUUAACACAUGCAAGUCGAACGGAAAGGCCCUGCUUUUGUGGGGUGCUCGAGUGGCGAACGGGUGAGUAACACGUGAGUAACCUGCCCUUGACUUUGGGAUAACUUCAGGAAACUGGGGCUAAUACCGGAUAGGAGCUCCUGCUGCAUGGUGGGGGUUGGAAAGUUUCGGCGGUUGGGGAUGGACUCGCGGCUUAUCAGCUUGUUGGUGGGGUAGUGGCUUACCAAGGCUUUGACGGGUAGCCGGCCUGAGGGGGUGACCGGCCACAUUGGGACUGAGAUACGACCCAGACUCCUACGGGAGGCAGCAGUGGGGAAUAUUGCACAAUGGGCGGAAGCCUGAUGCAGCAACGCCGCGUGCGGGAUGACGGCCUUCGGGUUGUAAACCGCUUUCGCCUGUGACGAAGCGUGAGUGACGGUAAUGGGUAAAGAAGCACCGGCUAACUACGUG